UAGGGAAUCUUCGGCAAUGGACGAAAGUCUGACCGAGCAACGCCGCGUGAGUGAAGAAGGUUUUCGGAUCGUAAAACUCUGUUGUUAGAGAAGAACAAGGACGUUAGUAACUGAACGUCCCCUGACGGUAUCUAACCAGAAAGCCACGGCUAACUACGUGCCAGCAGCCGCGGUAAUACGUAGGUGGCAAGCGUUGUCCGGAUUUAUUGGGCGUAAAGCGAGCGCAGGCGGUUUAUUAAGUCUGAUGUGAAAGCCCCCGGCUAAACCGGGGAGGGUCAUUGGAAACUGGGAGACUUGAGUGCAGAAGAGGAGAGUGGAAUUCCAUGUGUAGCGGUGAAAUGCGUAGAUAUAGGGAGGAACACCAGUGGCGAAGGCGGCUCUCUGGUCUGUAACUGACGCUGAGGCUCGAAAGCGUGGGGAGCAAACAGG
This 429-nucleotide ribosomal RNA is filed under the name Gemmatimonadota bacterium. Its description in RNAcentral is "Gemmatimonadetes bacterium partial 16S ribosomal RNA". It matches the Rfam family "Bacterial small subunit ribosomal RNA", at positions 355 to 776 of the family's 1533-position model. The record is from RNAcentral. Lineage: Bacteria; Pseudomonadati; Gemmatimonadota.